AGAGUUUGAUCCUGGCUCAGAUUGAACGCUGGCGGCAUGCCUUACACAUGCAAGUCGAGCGGCAGCGCGGGGGCAACCCUGGCGGCGAGCGGCGGACGGGUGAGUAAUACAUCGGAACGUGUCCUGUCGUGGGGGAUAACCAGUCGAAAGACUGGCUAAUACCGCAUGAGAUCUCACGAUGAAAGCGGGGGACCGCAAGGCCUCGCGCGACUGGAGCGGCCGAUGUCGGAUUAGCUAGUUGGCGGGGUAAAAGCCCACCAAGGCUACGAUCCGUAGCUGGUUUGAGAGAACGACCAGCCACACUGGGACUGAGACACGGCCCAGACUCCUACGGGAGGCAGCAGUGGGGAAUUUUGGACAAUGGGGGCAACCCUGAUCCAGCCACGCCGCGUGUGUGAAGAAGGCCUUCGGGUUGUAAAGCACUUUCGGCCGGAACGAAAUCGCGCGGGUGAACAUCCCGCGUGGAUGACGGUACCGAAGAA
This 482-nucleotide ribosomal RNA is filed under the name uncultured Caldimonas sp. RNAcentral's name for it is "bacterial SSU rRNA". It matches the Rfam family "Bacterial small subunit ribosomal RNA", at positions 8 to 489 of the family's 1533-position model. The record is from RNAcentral. Lineage: Bacteria; Pseudomonadati; Pseudomonadota; Betaproteobacteria; Burkholderiales; Sphaerotilaceae.